Molecule: small nucleolar RNA, 124 nt
Filed under: Carlito syrichta (Philippine tarsier)
Lineage: Eukaryota; Metazoa; Chordata; Mammalia; Primates; Tarsiidae
Description: Small nucleolar RNA SNORA31 (ENSTSYG00000030112.1)
Rfam family: Small nucleolar RNA SNORA31
About the family: ACA31 (SNORA31) belongs to the H/ACA class of snoRNAs which are thought to guide the sites of modification of uridines to pseudouridines. ACA31 is predicted to guide the pseudouridylation of U3713 in 28S rRNA and U218 in 18S rRNA.
Source: Rfam by way of RNAcentral
AUGCCCACGGAUAGACCUUGACCCACUGCUGCUGUGCUUGUGGUUUGCACUAGGAUGCAAAGAAAAGGAAUCCCUGCACUUUGUCUGUCUUGUGGUGGCCUCUAUUGUAUUGAGGGUUACAUCU